RNAcentral lists this non-coding RNA (26 nucleotides) under Cricetulus griseus (Chinese hamster). The record is from RNAcentral. Lineage: Eukaryota; Metazoa; Chordata; Mammalia; Rodentia; Cricetidae.
GUUUCCUGACUGUUGGCAACUCGGGG